UUAAGUUCAGCGGGUAGUCCUACCUGAUUUGAGGUCAAGCAUUCAAGAAAUUGUCUCGUUGAGACGAUUAGAAGCUGAACAACAGAGAGCAAUCCCCUCGCCAGUGUAGAUAAUUUAUCACACUUGUGGCAGAUCGCAAACAGUUCCGCUAAUGCAUUUCAGAGGAGCUGACCCCAACAAGUGGCCAGCAAACCUCCACA
RNAcentral lists this unclassified non-coding RNA (200 nucleotides) under Agaricus sp. RNAcentral describes it as "partial internal transcribed spacer 2". The record is from RNAcentral. Lineage: Eukaryota; Fungi; Basidiomycota; Agaricomycetes; Agaricales; Agaricaceae.